UGCUGCACUUGUUAUCUUGAUAGGA
This 25-nucleotide non-coding RNA is filed under the name Mus musculus (house mouse). Lineage: Eukaryota; Metazoa; Chordata; Mammalia; Rodentia; Muridae. The record is from RNAcentral.